This 269-nucleotide ribosomal RNA is filed under the name uncultured beta proteobacterium. RNAcentral describes it as "partial 16S ribosomal RNA". It matches the Rfam family "Bacterial small subunit ribosomal RNA", at positions 9 to 282 of the family's 1533-position model. The record is from RNAcentral. Lineage: Bacteria; Pseudomonadati; Pseudomonadota; Betaproteobacteria.
GAGUUUGAUCCUGGCUCAGAUUGAACGCUGGCGGAAUGCUUUACACAUGCAAGUCGAGCGGCAGCGCGGGGCAACCUGGCGGCGAGCGGCGAACGGGUGAGUAAUGCAUCGGAACAUGUCCAUGUCGUGGGGGAUAGCCCGGCGAAAGCCGGAUUAAUACCGCAUACGCCCGAGAGGGGAAAGUGGGGACCGCAAGGCCACACGCGAUUGGGUUGGCCGAUGUCCGAUUAGCUAGUUGGCGGGGUAAUGGCCCACCAAGGCGAUGAUCG